RNAcentral lists this ribosomal RNA (467 nucleotides) under uncultured bacterium. RNAcentral describes it as "partial 16S ribosomal RNA". It matches the Rfam family "Bacterial small subunit ribosomal RNA", at positions 28 to 506 of the family's 1533-position model. The record is from RNAcentral.
GACGAACGCUGGCGGCGUGCUUAACACAUGCAAGUCGAACGGAAAGGCCCUGCUUUUGUGGGGUGCUCGAGUGGCGAACGGGUGAGUAACACAUGAGUAACCUGCCCUUGACUUUGGGAUAACUUCAGGAAACUGGGGCUAAUACCGGAUAGGAGCUCCUGCUGCAUGGUGGGGGUUGGAAAGUUUCGGCGGUUGGGGAUGGACUCGCGGCUUAUCAGCUUGUUGGUGGGAUAGUGGCUUACCAAGGCUUUGACGGGUAGCCGGCCUGAGAGGGUGACCGGCCACAUUGGGACUGAGAUACGGCCCAGACUCCUACGGGAGGCAGCAGUGGGGAAUAUUGCACAAUGGGCGGAAGCCUGAUGCAGCAACGCCGCGUGCGGGAUGACGGCCUUCGGGUUGUAAACCGCUUUCGCCUGUGACGAAGCGUGAGUGACGGUAAUGGGUAAAGAAGCACCGGCUAACUACGU